GAUGAACGCUGGCGGCGUGCCUAAUACAUGCAAGUCGAGCGAACAGACGAGGAGCUUGCUCCUUUGACGUUAGCGGCGGACAGGUGAGUAACACGUGGGUAACCUACCUAUAAGACUGGGAUAACUUCGGGAAACCGGAGCUAAUACCGGAUAAUAUUUCGAACCGCAUGGUUCGAUAGUGAAAGAUGGCUUUGCUAUCACUUAUAGAUGGACCUGCGCCGUAUUAGCUAGUUGGUAAGGUAACGGCUUACCAAGGCAACGAUACGUAGCCGACCUGAGAGGGUGAUCGGCCACACUGGAACUGAGACACGGUCCAGACUCCUACGGGAGGCAGCAGUAGGGAAUCUUCCGCAAUGGGCGAAAGCCUGACGGAGCAACGCCGCGUGAGUGAUGAAGGUCUUCGGAUCGUAAAACUCUGUUAUUAGGGAAGAAUAAACGUGUAAGUAACUGUGCACGUCUUGACGGUACCUAAUCAGAAAGCCACGGCUAACUACGUG
Molecule: ribosomal RNA, 497 nt
Filed under: uncultured bacterium
Lineage: Bacteria
Description: partial 16S ribosomal RNA
Rfam family: Bacterial small subunit ribosomal RNA
Source: RNAcentral